This 3369-nucleotide long non-coding RNA is filed under the name Mus musculus (house mouse). RNAcentral describes it as "long non-coding RNA chr14:11767942-11771311". Lineage: Eukaryota; Metazoa; Chordata; Mammalia; Rodentia; Muridae. The record is from RNAcentral.
CCUACCCACUGGGAAGUGAUUUCCUGGGGAGUUUUUUUUUUUUUCCUUUUUUCUUUUUCUUUUUUAAAGGUGUGUAUGUAACCAGCUGCUUCUGCAAAAACACACGCACUGGUAUCCCAGGGGAGCGCUUGAGAGGUGGGAAAUUGCUUGGACUGCUUAAUUUCACUCCAAGAGCACACACACAUCUUUUUGUGAUUACUCCCCAGCGCUGUUACAUACACACCUACACCUACAUACGCCUUUCGGGUACACAUCACUGUGUAUGUAUUUUACACACAUAUACACAGAAGAGGCUGUAGAAGACGAGAGUCUCCUAAGCAAGGAAGGUCAGGCUCCUCACGGUGAAUAGUCUCUGUGCCGUACAAGCAGCAGGUGCAUCGGUCUCAGCCAAAAGGUCGGCGAAGGAAAUUGGGCUGGGCCUCACGCUGGUUGGUACAGCAUCCUUAGCCUGCUAAGUGUGCUGCUUUCUGUGUCUUUAUCAGCCUGACUCUGCACCAUGCUAUGCACAGCAUGGUACAACACAUCUAACAUCUCAGGGGCUGUUGCAUGGAAGAUUUUCUGCAGAAGAAGCAGAGACUUAGAAUUUCAGGCUGCAUCUGCUAUAGCGGAGCUUUGCAAUACAUUAGUUUGGUCAUCAUCAGCCUGAGCUACAGUGGUUCGACCCUGGGGAAUUGAAUCACUUUUUUAAAGCUAUGGUUUUCAUUAAUAUGUACAAGCCAGAGGAGGCAUAGAAUGAGCUUCUGCUCAUUUUGCAUCUUGGGUGACACUUUAAGAUACAUUGUCAGUCUAGGAUUUAGAUAGGGGUGGUGUGACCACUAGACUAAAACCAGGAUUGCUGCCCAGAAAUAAAACUUGGGAGGCUGAAGAGAAUUUAAGGAGGAUGUUGGGAAGUGGCUGCGGUGUUCAUGACCCCGUGUUCAGGAGGCCCAACCUUAUUAGACGUGUUAGGAAUGUGUUUACUAUUAAUACAGCAUAUUAUAGGAGAAGUGUCGUCAAAAGCUUCCUUAACAUGGUCAUCUGUGUCUUGGGGAUUGUUGCUGACUGUGUUUUCACUGCAAGCCUCACAUCCUUUAUCAGUAGGAUAAUAUUGUACACAUUUCCAUCAAAGCAUGUUAGCCAGAUACAAUGAUUCAUUAUUAUGCCUUUUAUUCUGGAAGUUGAUUUAGCUUAGACAGUAAGUUGUGUGGUCAUCUUAUUUCUCUGAUUCUGAGUCUCCAGCAGGAAUGUCCUAGCAGACAAGGACAUUUAGAGUCUGGCAGUGAUGUGCCCAGGAACUCGCAGCUAGUCUCAAGAUGUCAAGAUAUGUGUGUUCGUGUGUGUGUGUGUGUGUGUGUGUGUGUGUGUGUGUGUGUGUGUGUUGGCAAAAUUCCCAGUUAUGGGGCCACUAGUAAAUUCAUCUUUUUCUUCAUAGGAAACUUAAUAUUCUGUAACUGUGGCAGGCAUAGAAGGGAACAGAGGCCAAGCUCGGCUCUCUUCUGUUUUGCAAAUAGACAGUUAAUGGAACUCAGUCUUAUUUCUACAUUGUCAUUGGCUACUUCAGUACAAUAGAGACAAACAGAGCCUAAAAUAUUUUCUGUCCAUCUCUUAGAGAUAGCUUGCUAGCCUUACUGUGGGAUACUACUGUCCCAACAAACAAAAAGACAGCAAGUUUGUCAGAACCACUGUUUACUUUUUCUUAAUUUUAAUUAAAAUAAACAAUCAAUUCGUGAUUUGGAUAUAGAGUUGGGUCCCAGUGAUUGUUACUCAGAAGGCAAGAGAGCCUGAGUGUUGGGCAGUUGGCUGCUGUCUCUUUACCCAGAUGCUCAGGAGGUGCCACCCUGCUAGGUACGCUGGGAUGUGUAUGAAUUUGUUUAUUCUGAAUUACAGCAUACAAUUCAUUCUCUUGUGGUCUCACUAACUUAAGAAACAGUUGACUAUAGUACAUAUUCUUUAUCCCAAUCUCUCCAACUUGCUAGCAUUUUAGCAUGUCAUUGGGGAAACCCUGAGUGUGAUGCUUGGCCUCCUCACUGUGUGCGCAGUGUUUGGAGUCCAGUGCAUUUCUACAGUAUCAGCAUAGUUCAGUUUCCACUGAGCCACAUGUCGAAUGUUCAUUCGGCCAUGUAUGGCUUGGAGCAACCACAUUCUGCAGCAUGAUGCAUAUGGGGUAGGCCCCUAGCAGUUUUGUGAGGACUCACAGUACUUUUUUAAUUUCUGUUUUUGUUUUAUUGCACACCUGAUGAAUUAAUUUUCUCCCUAAGAACUUUUUAAAGUUUGCUUUCUGGAAGAUGCCAAUAUAUUUAUUUUAACCGACUAUUGUUUUUGUUUUUGUUUCAGACAGGCUCUCUUAAUGUAGCCCAGAGUGGCUUUGGAUUUGUUAUUCUCUAACUUUGGUCUGCCAGUCCUUCACAUUCAUGUGUGCAUUUUUGUGCCUUGUGGAAAACAGUGUUCAGAUGUGAGCUUCUCAGGUGGUGGGCAGGCGGCUGACCUGACUCUCACUGAGGCAUGUAGCACCACUCCAUAUAUCUCUUGUAGAUCAUGUACACUACUCCUUAAGAGAUUUUAAAGUAGACAUAUGUCUUGGGUCUUUUGGGUCUGUUAGUAUAGUAAGGAGACAUUUGGAGAGCCAAAGAUGUAACUCCAGGGUCUUCUGUCUCUCCUGGGAUGCUGCUUUCAGGUAUGAAGAAUCCACCUUGCCAUGAUCCAUUUGUUGAAUUAAUCACUUGCUUUCCCUUGGAUUUGAUUUAUGGUUUGGUGGAAAAGUCUAGAAGGUGCUUAGAGCGAGCAAGACUAGGUUCCUUCUUGGAGAGAAUGCAGGGCUGGUUCCGAAUGAAGAAAAAAAGAACAGUUGCCCAGGGUGAGGCAAAAGAUGAAAUUCCCUUGGGCUACCCGCUCUUCUCUUUGUGACUCUUCUGGAGUCUUGUACACAGAGGCCAGGCAACUGGGCCAGCUCACAGUAUUAUUAAACGUUCUUUUGGAUAGAUCUCAGCUCUUGUUGUUUUCUUCUGUCAGUUGCUAGAUAAAGGCUCCCGUCCUGCCACUGGAAAAAGGCUGAGGCUGACAUACAGUUAAGUGGGAACUCACUGAUAUCCUCUUGGGUACAACCUCAGACCCUGAGCAACCCAACUGCUUCAUAAAGAGGGGGGAUGGUGGACUCAGCUUUACAUUUGCCUAACUCAGUUUGCAUCUCUGUCCCCUAAAUGGAGCUGGGACCUUCUUGUUCAGGUGACAGUGUUUCUGGCAACCUUUUCAGCCAGGGGGUUAAAAUGAGUCGGCCUCGUCUGUGCCAUUCUGUUUAAGGAGCUGGGAAAGUGCUGACAGGGCUUGCCUUGGACACAUGCUCAGUUUUCAUUUUUACUGAAGGAUUCACGGACUUUCCCACCCUUCUUUCCC